Molecule: ribosomal RNA, 406 nt
Filed under: uncultured bacterium
Lineage: Bacteria
Description: partial 16S ribosomal RNA
Rfam family: Bacterial small subunit ribosomal RNA
Source: RNAcentral
AUUGAACGCUAGCGGCAUGCUUUACACAUGCAAGUCGAACGAGUGGCGGACGGGUGAGUAAUAUAUGGGAAAGUGCCCAGUGGAGGGGGAUAACUACUGGAAAGAGUGGCUAAUACCGCAUACCAUCGGAUGGGCCGAGAUGGGAUUAGCUAGUUGGUGGGGUAAAGGCUCACCAAGGCAACGAUCCGUAGCUGGUCUGAGAGGAUGACCAGCCACACUGGGACUGAGACACGGCCCAGACUCCUACGGGAGGCAGCAGUGGGGAAUAUUGGACAAGGGGGGAAAGCCUGAUGCAGCCAUGCCGCGUGUAUGAAGAAGGCCUUCGGGUUGUAAAGUACUUUUGGCGGGGAGGCGGUAUCUGCAGAAGAAGCACCGGCUAACUACGUGCCAGCAGCCGCGGUAAUAC